UGGGGAAUAUUGGACAAUGGGGGCAACCCUGAUCCAGCCAUGCCGCGUGAGUGAUGAAGGCCCUAGGGUUGUAAAGCUCUUUUGUGCGGGAAGAUAAUGACGGUACCGCAAGAAUAAGCCCCGGCUAACUUCGUGCCAGCAGCCGCGGUAAUACGAAGGGGGCUAGCGUUGCUCGGAAUCACUGGGCGUAAAGGGUGCGUAGGCGGGUUUUUAAGUCAGGGGUGAAAUCCUGGAGCUCAACUCCAGAACUGCCUUUGAUACUGAAGAUCUUGAGUCCGGGAGAGGUGAGUGGAACUGCGAGUGUAGAGGUGAAAUUCGUAGAUAUUCGCAAGAACACCAGUGGCGAAGGCGGCUCACUGGCCCGGUACUGACGCUGAGGCACGAAAGCGUGGGGAGCAAACA
This 402-nucleotide ribosomal RNA is filed under the name bacterium. RNAcentral's name for it is "partial 16S ribosomal RNA". It matches the Rfam family "Bacterial small subunit ribosomal RNA", at positions 355 to 774 of the family's 1533-position model. The record is from RNAcentral. RNAcentral also lists the same sequence under 3 other names.